Molecule: long non-coding RNA, 5567 nt
Filed under: Homo sapiens (human)
Lineage: Eukaryota; Metazoa; Chordata; Mammalia; Primates; Hominidae
Description: non-protein coding lnc-PJVK-2:4
Source: RNAcentral
GUUGCUCUUGGGUGGCCGCGGCGCCCGCUCCCUCUGAAUUCGCCGGGCAGGGAUACAGCCGCCCGGGGCCUCUUGCUCGUGCUUGGUUUUCCGGACCUUGCUUCCUAAAGGGUCUUUAGGGGUUCCCGGACUCCUCCGCCUGGGAGCCUCUAUCCGCCUGGGAGCCUCUAUGCGCCCCGCAAAGCCCCCGGCAGAGCCGAGGGGAGGCUUCAUUGGCGACCUGGUGGGGCCUCGCGGCCCUGCUCCCUGACGUCAGCGCCGCCGCGGUGAUUUAACAGCUUUUGUUUUGGGCAGAAGAACCUAUGGGCACAAAAAGCAGGAACGAGUAGCGGUGGCUGAAGAACGAGCAGGAGCUUGAAUUUCAGUUUUCUUAUGAGGAAUUUUCCAGAAAAGAUAUCUUCACUGUGAAAUAACUAAAUAAAUGCCCACUCAGUACAGUCACUGUCUCCCUUUUGGAACUUGAUGGCACCUUAAGCCCAGGUUUGCCUCCACUCUAGAAACUCAUCAGAGUGAUGCCCUUCUCAAAUGGGGGAGGUCCCAAAGCGGAUAUCCUGGCAGUGUGAAAGGCCGGCUAAAGGUUUGUGCCAAGAGGAUCUGUGGAAUGCAUCUCCUACAGCUGGUGCUGCUGAGUAACCACUCUGAUCUGGCAUCUUCUUUGAUCAAGUUACAGAGCAGAGUUUCCAGGGCUGGGGAUUGAAGUCCUGCCUCCUCCCUUUGUCUCUGGUUGUCCUCGGUAAUGUUUUUCCCUCAAGGUACUCAUGAUACUUCCCAUGGGGUGAGUCAGGGACAGGUCUCUUUCCAGGGAAUCCAGGAUGGUAGGGAGGUUGGUUGUCUACCUUGAUCUCACUUUUUCCAUUGUAGAAACUGUGAGUUGGGGAAAGUUUUCCACACACUUGGUGCUGGACAGAUUGUGGCAAGGGGCACCACAGAUAUAAAAAUCUGAUUCUUUUACCAUGCUCAGAGUUUUUUCACUUCUGUGUCCCCAGGAAUUGACUCAUCCUCAUAUCUGAGUUCUGGGAUAUUGUUGGUGAUAAUCUCAGUGCUGUAUAUUUGUUUUUGGUUUUCUGGUGUGGAAGUGAAGCCAGCUUGCGUCUACACUGCCAUUUUUGAACUAGAAGUCCACCUGAUGCCAUGUGGGUCUGCUCUAACAAAGAUGCCUGUAGCUGUCUCUGUAGGUACAAUUGGAGCUACUACCUCAUAAAGUUUGUGGUAGCCCACUAUCUGGUUUUUGGAGGGGCUAGACUGGUAAAUUAAAUGGAGAUACAAUUUGAACCAUCAUCCCCGAAUCUUUUAGGUCUUUUAGGAUGGCAUUAAUUUCUGCCAUUCCCUGAAAUAUUAUUUUUUGAUUUACUGUAUUGGUAUGGAGAAGAGGUCAAUUUUUAAAGCUUCCACCUGGCCACUUGGCCUUUAUCACUAUGUUAGCUCUUACCACACACACCGAGAAACCUGGUGCCACUAAUCAAGUGUAUUUAUCACAAUUAUACACUCAAGGACUAGGUGGGUCUGUGGAUAUAUUGUGAGCCAGACUUGGGCCAGGACACCCUAGGACUUGGCCUCCAUAACCCUUACUCUAAUCAAGGGCAUAUAGUGAGAGUUCUGUGAUAUCAUUGUUAACUCAGACCCUGUUUCCAACAGAUAUCAAAAUGUUGAGUAUUCCCCUUUCACCACUGUAUGAUUUCCUGAGUAAUGGUGAUAGGUCCCUUUGGAGAAGGACUAGAGGAAUCAUUAUUGUGCACACUUGUGGUAUUACACAAUCCUUCCUCCUGGGGACCCAGAUUCUUCUUUAGUUAAUGGGCCUGGAUCCAAAAACGGACUCAGGUCUGGAAAUCGGACAAGGGGUCAUGAUUAUUUUUUAUUUUUAUUUAUUUAUUUAUUUAUUUAUUUUUGAGACAGAGUCUCCCUCUUUAGCCCAGGCUGGAGUGCAGUGGCACAAUCUCUACUCAUGGCAACCUCCAUCUCCUGGGUUCAAGCAAUUCUUUUGCCUCAGCCUCCCGAGUAACUGGAUUACAGGCGCGCACCACCUUGCCCGGCUAAUGUUUGUAUUUUUAGUAGAGACAGGGUUUCACCAUGUUGGCCAGGCUGGUCUUGAACUACUGGCCUCAGGGAAUCCACCCUCCUCGGCCUUCCAAAGUACUAAAUUUAUAGUCAUGAGCCACUGCACCCCGCCAGUUUAACUUUUUUUUAAUUGGCUUAGUUGCCAAGAGAGGAAGUUGGGGAGGAUCCUGAGGAGUGUAUGUUUUGUCCUUGGAGAGAGAGCUCAUUGUCUUCAAGCAAAAGAGGGAGCACACUAGCCCUUAUUAGAGAAGAGAGGGGCACUUCUGUAGCCUUAGAAGGUUCUGGAAACCUGAGGAUUGAAGAUUUUUCAGGUGCAUCAACCCAGAUGGUUUCAUCCCAUGUGUCAGGGUUCCAUUUUUUCCCAAUCAGGGUCCUGACAACAGCACAGUAGACCUGCCUAGCUUGGGUCCUAACUUCUUUGGAGUUUUAUUCUCAUGACUAAGUCCUGGGCCUGGUCCUCAGCUUCCUCUCCUCAUUGGCUUGAGAACCUGAGAGUCUCAUAUUCUACGAGGGAGGCUUUCUGGCCCUCACACUGAGUUUUUGUUUGUUUUUGAGACAAGAUCUUGCUUUGUCACUAAGGCUGAGUGUGUAGUUGCACCCAGGCUGGGAGUGCAGUGGCACAGUAAGCUACUGUAACCUUGAACUCCUGGACCCAAAUUAUCCUCUGGCCUCAGCCUCUUGAGUAACAGAACAACAAAUGCAUGCCACUAUGCCCUGCUGAUUUUAAAUUUUUGUGGAGAUGGGCCUUGCUAUGUUGCCCAGGCUGGUCUUGAAUUCCUGGCCUCAAGCUAUCCUCCCUUUUCAGUCUUCUGAGGCACUGGAAUUACAGGCAUGAGCCACGGCUCUUGGUCCCACACUCAGCUUCUAAUUACCAACUAAUCACUCUCAUUCUUUUAUUUUGAGACAGGGUCUCAUUCUGUAGCUCAAGCUGGAGUACAGUAGUGCAAAUAUAGCUCACUGCAGCCUCAAACUCCUGGGGUCAGGUGAUCUUCUUGCCUCAGCUUCCCAAAUAGCUAGGACUACAGCCACAAGCUACUGGGCAUGGAUAAUUUUUUAAAUAUUUGUAGAGACAGGGUCUCGCUAUGUUGCCCAGGCUGGUCUCAAACUCCUGGCUCAGCCUCCCAAAGUGCUGGGAUUACAAGUGUGAGCCACUAUGCCUGGCCCAUUCUCAUUCUUCUGUUAUCUUUUUCCAAGGUAUCGGUCUAGCUCAGUAAUAACUCUUCAGUUCCACUGUCUACACUGUUUCCCACCUGAUCUUCGUGCCUGCCGGUGCAUUUCUUUGUGUUGACAUGCCAUCUCAGUUCACCACUAGUCAAAGUUUUAAUAACUGCACUGUCAGGGUGUGCUAGCAGUUAACUUCUCCCUGCCCCAGUGAGGAGACUCUCAUCCUAUAAGUGAGAAGGCAAGAGAAAUGGCUCCAAAAGCACACUGGAGCACCUACUUUCCUGCAACCCUUCUGAUACCAAGUAUCACAGAUGCUGAGAUGAAGAUUAGUGGGUAGGAGAUUUGGAUUGCCACCUGUGGAAAGAAAGGAAACUCCACUGGGUGGAGGAAGAAUAUGGACUAUGAUGCAAUCUCAAAGGUGGCCUUAGCUGACACUAAGGGGAACUCUGAAGCUAGGAUGGUCUUUCAGAUUGUUCUAAUAUGGGGCAAUGGGACUAGUCUUUGCAUGCAGCCUGGCCCAAGAAGGAAGUGUGACUUCAGAUGAGGUGGCUCUUUUCACUUAAGAGGGCAAUUCUACUGACAGCUGAGGGCCGUUGGGUGCACACUGCCAGAGCGAGAAAACAAAAUCCUCUGUAGGGAAGGGGACUGUGUGGCAUAUCACAGCACACCCCGAGAACAAGGGAGCGGCUCUUCAUCAAAUAACACAAUAUGGGCCCACAUAUUCCCAGAGGCUGCUAUAGUGCUGGGCACAUUAGUGCUCAAUAACUUAUUGAAUUAGUAUUAUCAUAUUGUGCUAUUGCCAUCCUCAUCUUUUAAAGUCACUUAUCACUUAAUGGAUGUUCUUGUUAGAACUGACACUAUGAAGAUGACUAUGACACAAUUACCUGUUGAGCCUAUUUGAGAAAUUAACCUAUAUUUAACAAGUUUGACUAAUUAGAUUGGUUAAGAGCCUUAGCAGAGGGCUAAACAAAAUGGUGUUAAAGAAUACACCUGAUGGUCCAAGAAAAUCCCUAACUCCCUAGAAGGUCUGGAUAGUCUGAGAAGUGACAUUCGAACAGUGUAAUGCACUUUCCUCCAGAGCCAGAAGCAGGGAAAGCAGAGGCAGCAGCAAUUUUAUCUUCUGGGCACCUUAUCCUCAGACCUCAUUUUAUCAAUACAUACGGACUGUCUACAACCACGUAAUAUCCUUUUCAUCAGCCUUAUGAAAUUUUCCCCCAAUUUAUCCAAGUCAGGAUUUCAGUAUGCAGAAGUCUAAUGUCAUCUUGGAGAGUUCAUUGUGCCUCCCCCAUAUCCAAGACCAUUUACUAAAACCUUAGUUCAGUCUUUAAAGAGUCACAAGAUCCUAUUAUGCCUAGUUUUUUUUCCAGUCUUUUAAGUCUAUUCCUUACCUUGCCAAAAAAGUACCUGUUUCUAUGGUUUAACAAAUGGAGCUUAGAAUAUGGAACUAUGACAAAAAUACCUGCUACAUGCUUCCUUCUGUAUGAAUACAUGAGACCUACCUUCAUUCAUGUUUCCUCUAUGAAGCUUUCCCUGCACUCCAAACACAGAGCUGAGACUUCCACCUAAUGUAGAAAGCUAGCACGAGCCGGCGCUGACAGAUGGAAGACUUGAGAUGUUACAAGAUUAUAUAUGGAAACACAAAAGGAGUGGAGUUGCUGGGUCAUAUGGCAAUUCAUUUGAGGAACUGAGAAGCUUAUUCCAUGGAGGCUGAACUGUUUUAUAUUCCCACCAGCAACGUUAGAGACGGGGUUUCACCGCGUUAGCCAGAAUGGUUUCUAUCUCCUGACCUCAUGAUCCGCCCACCUCGGCCUCCCAAAGUGCUGGGAUUACAGGCGUGAGCCACUGUGCCUGGCCAAACGCUGAUUAAAAAACUGAGGUCCAGAGAAAUUAAGUAAUUUGCUUAACUUCGCGAAUCAAGGACUGCAUCAAGGACGGAAGCUGAGGUUCCUGCUUUUGGCCUGGUGCUUUCUGUACUGGCCACACUACCUCCCAAAGGCAAAUAGUUUCUUAUUACUUGAAACUAUUAUCUAGCUAAGCUAAAAUCCCAUUUUAAGCCACUUUUGAAAAUAACAAAAACAUGCCAGAGAAGUUAACAGGAAUUCUCGCUAGUACUUUUUAAAGUGACAGCGUUUCUUAUAGUUUAUAUCCUUUAUAACAUAGAAGUUGCUAUAAUUAAGAAAGAUAAUUUUCAUUUUUAUCUCACUGCAAUUAUUUGCCAUGUAGUCUCUUAUUAAUCAUAUAAUUUUCAAGUGUAAUCUUCCUCUAGUCCUAUUUUCUAGAUAGAAUAGCUGUUAAAAUCCAAGAGAUUUACUAUAGCUUUUUCUCCAAAUUGAGGUUUUUUAAGUCAG